This 63-nucleotide transfer RNA is filed under the name Sclomina erinacea. RNAcentral describes it as "tRNA-Thr". The record is from RNAcentral. Lineage: Eukaryota; Metazoa; Arthropoda; Insecta; Hemiptera; Reduviidae.
GUUUUAAUAGUUUAAAAAAAACGAUGAUCUUGUAAAUCAUAAAUAGAAUUAAUCUUUAAAACU